CAAGUUGCGGGUGCUAUACAUGCAGUCGAGCGGAUGACAGAGGAGCUUGCUCCUCUAGAUUCAGCGGCGGACGGGUGAGUAACACGUGGGCAACCUGCCCUGUAGAUUGGGAUAACUCCGGGAAACCGGGGCUAAUACCGAAUAAUCCUUCGGACCUCAUGGUCCGAUGUUGAAAGGCGGUUUCGGCUGUCACUACAGGAUGGGCCCGCGGCGCAUUAGCUAGUUGGUGAGGUAACGGCUCACCAAGGCCACGAUGCGUAGCCGACCUGAGAGGGUGAUCGGCCACACUGGGACUGAGACACGGCCCAGACUCCUACGGGAGGCAGCAGUAGGGAAUCUUCCACAAUGGACGAAAGUCUGAUGGAGCAACGCCGCGUGAGUGAAGAAGGUUCUCGGAUCGUAAAACUCUGUUGUGAGGGAAGAACAAGUGCCGGAGUAACUGCCGGUGCCUUGACGGUACCUCAUUAGAAAGCCACGGCUAACUACGUGCCAGCAGCCGCGGUAAUACGUAGGUGGCAAGCGUUGUCCGGAAUCAUUGGGCGUAAAGCGCGCGCAGGCGGUCCCUUAAGUCUGAUGUGAAAGCCCACGGCUCAACCGUGGAGGGUCAUUGGAAACUGGGGGACUUGAGUGCAGAAGAGGAAGAGCGGAAUUCCAAGUGUAGCGGUGAAAUGCGUAGAGAUUUGGGAGGAACACCAGUGGCGAAAGGCGGCUUUCUGGUCUGUAACUGACGCUGAGGCGCGAAAGCGUGGGGAGCAAACAGGAUUAGAUACCCUGGUAGUCCACGCCGUAACGAUGAGUGCUAGUGUUAGGGGGUUUCCGCCCCCUUAGUGCUGCAGCUAACGCAUUAGCACUCGCCUGGGGAGUACGGUCGCAGACUGAAACUCAAGGAAUUGACGGGGCCCGCACAAGCGGGUGGAGCAUGUGUUUACUCGAAGCACGGCGAGAACUUAACAAGUCUGACAUCCCGCGACGGCUAGAGACUAGGCCUCGUCGGGACGGCGGUGACGGUGGUGCAUGUUGUCGUCAGCUCUGUCCUGGAAUGUUGGUAAGUCAGCACGAGCCAACCUUUGACUUACUUGCAGCAUCAUGGCGCUUAGGUAACUGCGGGUCA
Molecule: ribosomal RNA, 1111 nt
Filed under: Planococcus sp. (in: firmicutes)
Lineage: Bacteria; Bacillati; Bacillota; Bacilli; Caryophanales; Caryophanaceae
Description: bacterial SSU rRNA
Rfam family: Bacterial small subunit ribosomal RNA
Source: RNAcentral